RNAcentral lists this ribosomal RNA (301 nucleotides) under uncultured bacterium. RNAcentral describes it as "partial 16S ribosomal RNA". It matches the Rfam family "Bacterial small subunit ribosomal RNA", at positions 509 to 807 of the family's 1533-position model. The record is from RNAcentral.
CAGCAGCCGCGGUAAUACGUAGGUGGCAAGCGUUGUCCGGAAUUAUUGGGCGUAAAGGGCUCGCAGGCGGUUUCUUAAGUCUGAUGUGAAAGCCCCCGGCUCAACCGGGGAGGGUCAUUGGAAACUGGGAAACUUGAGUGCAGAAGAGGAGUGUGGAAUUCCACGUGUAGCGGUGAAAUGCGUAGAGAUGUGGAGGAACACCAGUGGCGAAGGCGACUCUCUGGUCUGUAACUGACGCUGAGGAGCGAAAGCGUGGGGAGCGAACGGGAUUAGAUACCCGCGUAGUCCCUGUCUCUUAUAC